This 273-nucleotide ribosomal RNA is filed under the name uncultured bacterium. RNAcentral describes it as "partial 16S ribosomal RNA". It matches the Rfam family "Bacterial small subunit ribosomal RNA", at positions 524 to 796 of the family's 1533-position model. The record is from RNAcentral.
UACAGAGGGUGCGAACGUUGCUCGGAAUUACUGGGCGUAAAGCGCGUGUAGGCGGCCUGUUAAGUCGACUGUGAAAGCCCAUGGCUCAACCAUGGAAGUGCGGUCGAUACUGGCAGGCUGGAGUCCCGGAGAGGGUGGUGGAAUUCUCAGUGUAGAGGUGAAAUUCGUAGAUAUUGGGAGGAACACCGGUGGCGAAGGCGACCACCUGGACGGGUACUGACGCUGAGACGCGAAAGCGUGGGGAGCAAACAGGAUUAGAUACCCCCGUAGUCC